This 740-nucleotide long non-coding RNA is filed under the name Homo sapiens (human). Its description in RNAcentral is "HSALNT0295899". The record is from RNAcentral. Lineage: Eukaryota; Metazoa; Chordata; Mammalia; Primates; Hominidae.
AUUCCAGAUGAGCAAGCAUUGAUGGCCAGCCUGUUUGACCCAUGGGCAAUGGACCUUCCAAAGGGAGCUAUCUAGCACUUUCCUCUCCACAGCAUGUGGCUUCAGGUGUCUGCCUAUCCUGCUCUAGCCAGAUGACCUGUCCCUUUGAUUUUGAACAGAGUCUCAGUGAUGACCUCAAUGGAUGACCCUCCCCUCUGCUGAAUGCCUCCCCUGGGGCUGAGCGAAGCUGCCCACCUCUUCUUCAGUGCUUUGUCUCCAAAGAAGUGGCUGAAGAUGAAGUCCUCAAAGUCAUCUACUUCAUCAUCAUCACCUGUCUGUUGCACAGCCACCUCCUCCAAGCUGUCCUCCAGGGCAUCCACAAAAUCCCGGAAGCGGAGGCGGUCAUGACGGAAGAUGCCAUCCUCACCAAAGAAAGCAGUGCUCCAGGCAGACCACACCAAUCAAUCACAGGUGAUACCAUGUAUGUUUCAUGUACCAUGUGGAACAGCCAGGGGCACCAUGGGCUGAGGUGGGCCGGCCUCCCGGCCCCGCCGUCUCCGCAGACCCUCCAUGUCCACGUCGGUGUCAUCGUCACUGCUGGAGCAGCGGCCCUCCUCCCUGAUCCAAGCUAGGGGAAAGGACAGGGACAGGGCAGUGAGGUGACUGGAGAGAUGGGGAGACACAGGGAGAGAGGGGAAUCAGAGGAAGGCACAGGGAGGGAGGUCGUCAGCCCUGACCCCAGAGAGGGGCACAUGAAGACC